RNAcentral lists this ribosomal RNA (403 nucleotides) under uncultured bacterium. RNAcentral's name for it is "bacterial SSU rRNA". It matches the Rfam family "Bacterial small subunit ribosomal RNA", at positions 355 to 774 of the family's 1533-position model. The record is from RNAcentral.
UGGGGAAUAUUGCACAAUGGGCGAAAGCCUGAUGCAGCAACGCCGCGUGAAGGAGGAAGGCCUUCGGGUCGUAAACUUCUGUCCUUGAGGAAGAAGAAAUGACGGUACUCAAGGAGGAAGCCCCGGCUAACUACGUGCCAGCAGCCGCGGUAAUACGUAGGGGGCAAGCGUUAUCCGGAAUUAUUGGGCGUAAAGAGUGCGUAGGUGGUUACCUAAGCGCAGGGUAUAAGGCAAUGGCUCAACCAUUGUUGGCCCUGCGAACUGGGCUACUUGAGUGCAGGAGAGGAAAGCGGAAUUCCUAGUGUAGCGGUGAAAUGCGUAGAUAUUAGGAGGAACACCAGUGGCGAAGGCGGCUUUCUGGACUGUAACUGACACUGAGGCACGAAAGCGUGGGGAGCAAACA